This 393-nucleotide ribosomal RNA is filed under the name Triticum aestivum (bread wheat). RNAcentral's name for it is "partial small subunit ribosomal RNA". Lineage: Eukaryota; Viridiplantae; Streptophyta; Magnoliopsida; Poales; Poaceae. The record is from RNAcentral.
AUGUCAACAUUCGCAAGACCACCUCUCAGUUUUCCCAACGGUGUUCGUCCAUCCGCCCAAGUUGCCUUUGUUUUCCCGCCCUCCCACCCUUUUUCUUCAAGGACUCGGAUUUCUUUAUCAAGUAUCCAUCUUAUGGAUGAGAAGCCUCUUUACUCCUCUCUUUCAGUGUUCUUAUCCGGUGAUUCUCAUGAAGAUACUAACGGAGCUUCAAGUUCAUCAUUCAUCAUUCUUUUUUCUUCUCUAGUGGAUUCAAGUCAAGGUUUGUCGAUCUUAUCCUUUUCCUCAUUUCAAAUGUUUUCUCAUGUCGGUGUAUCUCUUAAUCAUUCACUUCUCGCUAUUCAAUUGUUCUGGAGUGCUGAAGAUAUCCCAAAAGAUUUAAGUUUAUAUUCAUAA